GGUCUCAUGGUGUAGUGGUAACACGUCCUCUGUUGAUACCUGCUGCAAAUCACUUCAGGAGGAAUUCCCUUGUUUGAAUCAAGGUGAGGCCA
Non-coding RNA from Mycena leptocephala, 92 nucleotides. Lineage: Eukaryota; Fungi; Basidiomycota; Agaricomycetes; Agaricales; Mycenaceae. The record is from the annotation of a GenBank genome assembly.